CAAUGGGAGAAAUCCUGAAGCAGCAACGCCGCGUGGAGGAUGAAGGGUCUAUGACUUGUAAACUCCUGUAAAGAAGGAAAAAAUUCCCAUUAGAUGGGAGAUGAUGGUACUUCUGGAGUAAGCCCUGGCUAACUACGUGCCAGCAGCCGCGGUAAUCCGUAGGGGGCAAGCGUUGUUCGGAUUUACUGGGUGUAAAGGGUGCUCAGGCGGAUUUGUAAGUCAGAGGUGAAAUCUUACAGCUUAACUGUGAAACUGACUUUGAUACUGCAAGCCUAGAGUAUGGAAGAGAGUGAUGGAAGAGCUGGUGUAGUAGCGAAAUGCGUAGAUAUCAGAUAGAACACAAAUGGCGAAGGCAGUCACUUGGGCCAUUACUGACGCUAGAGCACGAAAGCGUGGGUAGCAAACA
This 406-nucleotide ribosomal RNA is filed under the name uncultured bacterium. RNAcentral describes it as "bacterial SSU rRNA". It matches the Rfam family "Bacterial small subunit ribosomal RNA", at positions 369 to 774 of the family's 1533-position model. The record is from RNAcentral.